CAAUGACAUCGAAGCUGCUGCU
This 22-nucleotide unclassified non-coding RNA is filed under the name Mus musculus (house mouse). Its description in RNAcentral is "oocyte_clustered_small_RNA8385". The record is from RNAcentral. Lineage: Eukaryota; Metazoa; Chordata; Mammalia; Rodentia; Muridae.